This is a long non-coding RNA of Thalassophryne amazonica, 332 nucleotides long. RefSeq lists it as uncharacterized. The record is from RefSeq and is a predicted model, not a curated record. The transcript has 2 exons. NCBI's taxonomy places the organism in Eukaryota, Metazoa, Chordata, Actinopteri, Batrachoidiformes, Batrachoididae.
UUUGGACUAAGGAGCACCCUGAAAACACACAUGAUAAUUCAUACAGGACAAAAAGCAUUUGUCUGUUCUGAGUGUGGUCAAAGAUUUCGACACAAGGGCAUCCUGAACACACACAUGAGAAUUCAUACAAGGCAAAACCCAUUUGUCUGUUCCGAGUGUGGUAAAAGAUUUGGACUAAAAAGCUCCCUGAACAGACACAUGAUAAUUCAUACAGGGCAAAAAGCAUUUGUCUGUUCUGAGUGCAGAAAAGCAUUUGGACAAAAGUGCAACUUGAAAACACACAUGAUAAUUCAUACAGGACAAAAAGCAUUUGUCUGUUCUGUGUGCAGUAA